AGAGUUUGAUUCUGGCUCAGAACGAACGCUGGCGGCGUGGAUAAGACAUGCAAGUCGUGCGGGGAUCUCUCGGUAGCAAUAUUGAAAGCUUUCAGCGGCGAACGGGUGCGUAACACGUGGGCAACAUGCCGGAAAGUGGGGGAUAGCCCGCCGAAAGGCGGAUUAAUACCGCAUGUGGCCGCUUCGCGAUUGCGGGGCGGCCAAAGCUGGGGAUCUUCGGACCUGGCGCUUUCCGAUUGGCCCGCGGCCUAUCAGUUUGUUGGUGAGGUAACGGCUCACCAAGACUACGACGGGUAGCUGGUCUGAGAGGAUGAUCAGUCACACUGGAACUGAGACACGGUCCAGACACCUACGAGUGGCAGCAGUCGAGAAUCAUUCACAAUGGGCGAAAGCCUGAUGGUGCGACGCCGCGUGGAGGAUGACGGCCCUCGGGUUGUAAAACUCCUGUCAUCAGGGAGCAAGGCGUCUCCGGUUAACAGCCGGGAGCGUUGAUAGUACCUGAAGAGGAAGAGACGGCUAACUCUGUGCCAGCAGCCGCGGUAAUACAGAGGUCUCAAGCGUUGUUCGGAAUUACUGGGCGUAAAGAGUGCGUAGGCGGCGCGGUAAGUCAGAUGUGAAAUCCCGGGGCUCAACCCCGGAACUGCAUCCGAUACUGCCGCGCUAGAGGGCUGGAGAGGAGACUGGAAUUCACGGUGUAGCAGUGAAAUGCGUAGAUAUCGUGAGGAACACCAAUGGCGAAGGCAAGUCUCUGGACAGCUUCUGACGCUGAGGCACGAAGGCUAGGGGAGCGAACAGGAUUAGAUACCCUGGUAGUCCUAGCAGUAAACGGUGCACGUUUGGUGUGGGCGGGUUCGACCCCGUCCGUGCCGGAGCUAACGCGUUAAACGUGCCGCCUGGGGAGUACGGCCGCAAGGCUAAAACUCAAAGAAAUUGACGGGGACCCGCACAAGCGGUGGAGUAUGUGGCUUAAUUCGAUGCAACGCGAAGAACCUUACCUGGGUUUGACAUGUUUGGUCGCACCCCGAUGAAAGUCGGGGGUCAGUUCGGCUGGACCUUACACAGGUGCUGCAUGGCUGUCGUCAGCUCGUGUCGUGAGAUGUUGGGUUAAGUCCCGCAACGAGCGCAACCCCUGUGAUCUGUUGCCACCUCACUUCGGUGAGAGCACUCUGAUCAGACUGCCCAGAUCAACUGGGAGGAAGGUGGGGACGACGUCAAGUCAGUAUGGCCCUUACGCCCAGGGCUGCACACGUACUACAAUGCCCAGCACAACGAGAGCCGAACCCGCGAGGGGGAGGAAAUCACCAAAACUGGGCUCAGUUCGGAUUGGAGGCUGCAACUCGCCUCCAUGAAGUCGGAAUCGCUAGUAAUGGCGCAUCAGCUACGGCGCCGUGAAUACGUUCCCGGGUCUUGUACACACCGCCCGUCACAUCAUGGAAGCUGGUUGUACCCGAAGUAUGCGCGCCAACCGCAAGGAGGCAGCGUCCGAAGGUAUGGCUAGUAACUGGGAUGAAGUCGGAACAAGGUA
Molecule: ribosomal RNA, 1525 nt
Filed under: metagenome
Description: bacterial SSU rRNA
Rfam family: Bacterial small subunit ribosomal RNA
Source: RNAcentral